Molecule: non-coding RNA, 2040 nt
Organism: Oryctolagus cuniculus (rabbit)
Lineage: Eukaryota; Metazoa; Chordata; Mammalia; Lagomorpha; Leporidae
Source: RefSeq, a predicted model, not a curated record
UGCCUUGUUGGUGCUGGGUUGAUGGGUGUGUCUGCCUUGUUGGUGCUGGGUUGAUGGGUGUGUCUGCCUUGUUGGUGCUGGGUUGAUGGGUGUGUCUGCCUUGUUGGUGCUGGGUUGAUGGGUGUGUCUGCCUUGUUGGUGCUGGGUUGAUGGGUGUGUCUGCCUUGUUGGUGCUGGGUUGAUGGGUGUGUCUGCCUUGUUGGUGCUGGGUUGAUGGGUGUGUCUGCCUUGUUGGUGCUGGGUUGAUGGGUGUGUCUGCCUUGUUGGUGCUGGGUUGAUGGGUGUGUCUGCCUUGUUGGUCCUGGUUUGAUGGGUGUGUCUGCCUUGUUGGUCCUGGGUUGACGGGUGACCUCAGUGGCCUGUCCGCACACCCGCAGGCACCUCGCUGGCGCCCAGAGCUCUGCUGUACCUCCUGUCCCAGGCUGGAGGCUGCCAGGACCCGGUUGCAGCUGGGGACCCUGUCACAUGAGCAGUGCUGGCAGUGGCGCUUGCGGCUCUGUCCUCGGCUGACACAGUCUCGCAGUGGCAUUUGCAGCAGUCAGCUGUGUGGUCAGAGUCAUCCCCCUCUCUGAAUCCUGGACCUCAUCUACGAAAAUGACGGUGUGGGAGCUGAUGGCGCUCAAAGCCCCUUUCAGGCGGCAAUUCGGAGACUGGAGAAGGGGUGUCAGUCUUUUCUGGAAACGAGGGGGCAGCAUGGGUCGUGGGGACUGGUAGGGCCCACAGAGGGGAAGGCGACCAUGGUAAACUAGCUUCUUUGCUGAAUGUCAUCUCCAAAGUGUUUGUUGAGGGCUGGGAGUUAAGGACUGGAGCCCUCCCCUCCCAGGGCUGGGGGUCACGAUGCUCCCGUCCUGGCUGCCCGCUGGACGACAGCCCCUGCACACCCAGCUCUGUGCUCCGCACUUCCCCAUCAUGGGACAGGGCGUGGCUGGACCCAUUUUGCAGACGAGGGUGAUGUGUCCACGUCACACGGGCAGUAAGUGACUGGGAAGCUCGACCUCCAGGAAGCUGCAGGGCUGGCUGAACCAUCACUUCUUCUGUUGCCAAGGAAACAGAGGCAUGGGGGAGGUGAGCAGUUGCCCAGGGCCACCCGACUAAGAAAGUGCCAGGUGUGCAGCUGCCCUCCUCGGCAUCCCUGUCACAUGCCCUGAGACCAUCCUUAGUGCCCCUCGUUUUCAAAGCCUCCCCUCUGGAUCCUCUUCUACACCCUGGUUCUCCCCCAUUAUUUAUACAAUGAGGCUAAGAUAAAUGAGAGAGGCAGCCCAAGGUUCACCCACAGUCCAGGUGCUGGACAUGUGCAGAAAAGGGAGAGAACGGGUCCUGCAUCCCAGAGCCUGGAAGACGACUAGCCCCGAGUAAGUGCUUGUAACUGAAUAAUCGGUUAGGGACGUCUGCAUUCCAGUCUGGAUCUCAGCAGGAGGCUCUCAGGCUGUUGGAGAUGAGCAGAUCCAAUGCCAGCUGCUGUUGCAGAAAUUUGUGUCUGCCCUUGGGAGCUCCUGUGCCUUAGUUGCCUUUUCUAUAAAGGGGGUCAUUGUGGCCCCUCCCAUGGAAGGUUGCUGGGGCUUUAAAGGGAUGAAUACCCGGGGCUGGACACAGCAGCUGGCAUCGCCCUUGCUCUGUGUCAUGCCGCUGUUCUUGUCACUUUGUCACCAGUUUCCAUGCUGUCCUGGUGGUGUGAUCCGAGCUGAUUUGGGGGCAUUUUGGAGUGGAGUUGGGCAGAACAGCGGAGGGGUAAUGGCCCCCAGUGCCCCCUCUGGUCCCUUGGUUUUCCAUCUUGAGUGCCGCAAGGUAGCCUCUGAGUGGGCAGCAGUGUCUGUGUUUGUGUGAUGUGGUCUGCAGAAUCAGCUGGACCAGGAGCCCCAGGGGUGGUGCAAGGUUUAGAAAUGAUGGAAACUAGGGUACAGAGUGUGGUUUCCAGUGCUCUGUCUCCUUGUGGUGCACCUACUGGUCCUGCUCUGGGAGACUGCAGCCCUGUGGAGAGGAAAGCAGGGAGGUACCCCUUCCUGGCCCCUUCCUGGCCCCACAGCAUCCUCCGGUGUCCUG